UACGUAGGGUGCGAGCGUUGUCCGGAAUUAUUGGGCGUAAAGAGCUCGUAGGCGGUUUGUCACGUCUGCUGUGAAAUCCCGAGGCUCAACCUCGGGCCUGCAGUGGGUACGGGCAGACUGGAGUGCGGUAGGGGAGAAUGGAAUUCCUGGUGUAGCGGUGGAAUGCGCAGAUAUCAGGAGGAACACCGAUGGCGAAGGCAGUUCUCUGGGCCGUAACUGACGCUGAGGAGCGAAAGCUGGGGGAGCGAACAGG
RNAcentral lists this ribosomal RNA (253 nucleotides) under uncultured bacterium. RNAcentral's name for it is "partial 16S ribosomal RNA". It matches the Rfam family "Bacterial small subunit ribosomal RNA", at positions 524 to 776 of the family's 1533-position model. The record is from RNAcentral.